UACGUAGGUGGCAAGCGUUGUCCGGAUUCACUGGGCGUAAAGCGCGCGCAGGCGGCUUGGUCAGUCUGGGGUGAAAUCUCGCGGCUCAACUGAGAGAGGUCCCUGGAUACUGCCAGUCUUGAGGGGCUCAGAGGAGAGUGGAAUUCCGCGUGUAGUGGUGGAAUGCGUAGAUACGCGGAGGAACACCAGUGGCGAAAGCGGCUCUCUGGGGGCCACCUGACGCUGAGGCGCGAAAGCUAGGGUAGCAAACGGG
This 253-nucleotide ribosomal RNA is filed under the name uncultured bacterium. RNAcentral describes it as "partial 16S ribosomal RNA". It matches the Rfam family "Bacterial small subunit ribosomal RNA", at positions 524 to 776 of the family's 1533-position model. The record is from RNAcentral.